UUCAGUUUACUCAGUAUUAUUGUCUGAAACCGAUUCAAACUAGCUGAAUCAUUGUCAAUAUUAGAAGCAUACAGGUUAAAAAAAUCACAAAGUUUAUAAAUAGGAGAACUUUUAUCAAUGUUGAUUCGUGGAUAAACAGUUUAAAACAGAAGCCUCUCUGGGGAUAUAUCCCAAAUUCCAGCAGCAGUUACGACAAUACUAGAAUUACAGAAGAAAAGUUUGCAAUGGUUACAGGAAAUUCUAAAGAGCUCGCCAAUUUUCACCUUGAGACUGUGUUUAAAAAUGCAUGUUUUAUAGCAUAAUAUACAGUUCGAAUACAUGUUUCAUAACUUUAACUUUUUGCAGGAUGUUACUUUACUCUUAGGGUAGGCUACCGAGAGGCUUCCCUUACGGUGUGGGCUCGAACUUCUAGAAAAACAAGGCCCUUCAACUGCUGUCAGGUAUAUUAAUGAAAUUCUGCAAGAUUAUGUUGUUUGUUAUGUGGAAAUAAUUUUAUUCUGAUGCUUGAUAACGCCAAGCCCCCACAUCACUAUAAUUACUCAAGAAUAUGUUAAAUAAACUAUGUACAUUCCUAGAGAGGAAUACCACUGCUGUUAAGUCCAGCUGCAAAUCCAAUUGAAAAUGUUUGGGACAUACUUGGGCGAACACUACGAGGUUGCGUUCUUGCUCCUUUAACCUUAAAGAAAUAACAAUACUCUCUUUUAGAGGAAUGGAACUUUAUUUUUUUAAAAGACAUUUCUCAUAUGAUUUACUAAUCUUAAGAAAAAUACAAGCAAUCAUUCGGGCAUGUGGAGGCAACACACAAUAUUAAAAAGGCUCUGCGCAUCUUUUGAUAGCAAUAUGUUUCAUUUUUCAAUAGUUGAAGGCCUUUGAAAAAACUACCCAUUUCUUUGUAUUUUCGUAAUGUUUUAAUAAAAAAAUUUCAAAUAAA
Long non-coding RNA from Anthonomus grandis grandis, 931 nucleotides. RefSeq lists it as uncharacterized. The transcript has 2 exons. The record is from RefSeq and is a predicted model, not a curated record. Lineage: Eukaryota; Metazoa; Arthropoda; Insecta; Coleoptera; Curculionidae.